UAUGCAAGUAGUCCUCCUUGUAUCUUGUCGUCACAAUGAGACUCUCUUUGUUUCUUCAAUGCUUGCUUUGUAUCUGCCUAGCACUGCUUCUUAUUCAGCCAUCCAUUGUUUUUGGGGAUGACGGAGAGGAACGAGGCCGUUUCAGCGAUCAUCCGGUAAAGGCGCCACCAAGAUCACGUAGGGCCCGUGCUACCCACCCAUGAAUCAGAAUCACAAAUAAUGAGUCAAGUUGCAUAUAACUCAUUACUUUUUCGUAUAUCAAGUUUUUUUUUUUUCAUUUUUAUUAUUCCAUGGAGUGAGUUAUGAUACUCAAAUUAAUUGAGUUCCAUACCACAUCUAAUACUAUAUUAGUUUGAUAUUAUAAC
Long non-coding RNA from Arachis duranensis, 365 nucleotides. RefSeq lists it as uncharacterized. Lineage: Eukaryota; Viridiplantae; Streptophyta; Magnoliopsida; Fabales; Fabaceae. The record is from RefSeq and is a predicted model, not a curated record. The transcript has 2 exons.